This 529-nucleotide ribosomal RNA is filed under the name uncultured Nitrososphaerota archaeon. Its description in RNAcentral is "bacterial SSU rRNA". It matches the Rfam family "Archaeal small subunit ribosomal RNA", at positions 451 to 981 of the family's 1478-position model. Lineage: Archaea; Thermoproteati; Nitrososphaerota. The record is from RNAcentral.
UCUGGUGUCAGCCGCCGCGGUAAAACCAGCACCUCGAGUGGUCAGGAGGUUUAUUGGGCCUAAAGCAUCCGUAGCCGGUUGUUUAAGUUUUCGGUUAAAUUUAUGCGCUUAACGUAUAGGCUGCCGAAAAUACUGGACAGCUAGGGAGUGGGAGAGGUACACGGUACUCAAUAGGAAGGGGUAAAAUCCUUUGAUCUGUUGAUGACACCUGUGGCGAAGGCGGUGUACCAGAACACGUUCGACGGUGAGGGAUGAAAGCUGGGGGAGCAAACCGGAUUAGAUACCCGGGUAGUCCCAGCUGUAAACGAUGCAAACUCGGUGAUGCAUUGGCUUGUGGCCAAUGCAGUGCCGCAGGGAAGCCGUUAAGUUUGCCGCCUGGGAAGUACGUACGCAAGUAUGAAACUUAAAGGAAUUGGCGGGGGAGCACCACAAGGGGUGAAGCCUGCGGUUCAAUUGGAGUCAACGCCAGAAAUCUUACCCGGAGCGACAGCAGAAUGAAGGUCAAGCUGAAGACUUUACCAGACAAGCU